This 253-nucleotide ribosomal RNA is filed under the name uncultured bacterium. Its description in RNAcentral is "partial 16S ribosomal RNA". It matches the Rfam family "Bacterial small subunit ribosomal RNA", at positions 524 to 776 of the family's 1533-position model. The record is from RNAcentral.
UACGGAGGAUCCAAGCGUUAUCCGGAUUUAUUGGGUUUAAAGGGUGCGUAGGUGGUUCUUUAAGUCAGGGGUGAAAGACGGCAGCUUAACUGUCGCAGUGCCUUUGAUACUGAAGAACUUGAAUGAACUAGAGGUAGGCGGAAUGUGACAAGUAGCGGUGAAAUGCAUAGAUAUGUCACAGAACACCAAUUGCGAAGGCAGCUUACUAUGGUUUGAUUGACACUGAGGCACGAAAGCGUGGGGAUCAAACAGG